This 439-nucleotide ribosomal RNA is filed under the name uncultured bacterium. RNAcentral describes it as "partial 16S ribosomal RNA". It matches the Rfam family "Bacterial small subunit ribosomal RNA", at positions 339 to 795 of the family's 1533-position model. The record is from RNAcentral.
CUACGGGGGGCAGCAGUGAGGAAUAUUGCGCAAUGGGCGAAAGCCUGACGCAGCAAUACCGCGUGAGUGAGGAAGGUCCUUUGGAUUGUAAAGCUCUGUGGAGUGGGAAGAUAAUGACGGUACCACUCUAGAAAGCACCGGCUAACUACGUGCCAGCAGCCGCGGUAAUACGUAGGGUGCAAGCGUUGUUCGGAAUUAUUGGGCGUAAAGCGGAUGUAGGUGGUUUAUUAAGCCAGAUGUGAAAGCCCAGGGCUCAACCCUGGACGAGCAUUUGGAACUGGUAGACUAGAGUGUGUUAGGGAGUGCGGAAUUCCUAGUGUAGCGGUGAAAUGCGUAGAUAUUAGGAGGAACAUUCAUGGCGAAGGCGGCGCUCUGGGGCGACACUGACACUGAGAUCCGAAAGCAUGGGUAGCAAACAGGAUUAGAUACCCGAGUAGUC